CCCUUGUGGAGGAGGACGCCGAAGGUGGGGCUAAUGACUGGGGUGAAGUCGUAACAAGGUAGCCGUACCGGAAGGUGCGGCUGGAUCACCUCCUAACAGGGAGACAACAAAAUGUUAAAUAUUAAUUUUGUCACCUUAGGUCGAUCGGUAUCUCACAUUCUUAAUUCAAUUUAAGGAUUUCAUUUCCUAAGUUUUUCUAGGUCACACCCAAUCAUUUUUCCUGGGCCAUUAGCUCAGGUGGUUAGAGCGCACCCCUGAUAAGGGUGAGGUCCCUGGUUCAAGUCCAGGAUGGCCCAUAUCUCUAUGUUGGGGGUAUAGCUCAGUUGGUAGAGCGCCUGCUUUGCAAGCAGGAUGUCAGCGGUUCGAGUCCGCUUACCUCCACUGAUCACCACCUCUUCCGUAGUAGUUUAUAGAAGGGAAAUUUUUGAGUUGUGAUCAAAUUCUGAACGAAUCUAGCUUCCUAAUGAAACCAUUAAGAUGCUGGACUCAUUGAAUUAAUUUCAUUGUUUUCAGAGAACCUUGACAACUGCAUAGAUUAUUUUUAAAGACAAUAAGCAUCUUUAAUGAUGCAGAUUUAUUAUUUGUGCGAAUGCAUUAAUAACAAUUCUAUUAAGCUGAUGCUUCAAUUAUGAAGUUAUUGGUCAAGCUACAAAGGGCUCACGGAGGAUACCUAGGCACACAGA
This 683-nucleotide unclassified non-coding RNA is filed under the name uncultured Prochlorococcus sp. Its description in RNAcentral is "partial may contain 16S ribosomal RNA, 16S-23S ribosomal RNA intergenic spacer, and 23S ribosomal RNA". The stretch from base 1 to 96 matches the Rfam family "Bacterial small subunit ribosomal RNA", at positions 1438 to 1533 of the family's 1533-position model. The record is from RNAcentral. Lineage: Bacteria; Bacillati; Cyanobacteriota; Cyanophyceae; Synechococcales; Prochlorococcaceae.